CCUGCCAGAGGCUACUGCUAUCGGGGUCCGACUAAGCCAUGCGAGUUGAGAGGGGUAAGCCCUCGGCAUAUUGCUCAGUAACACGCGGAUAACCUGCCCUUGGGUUUGGGAUAACCCCGGGAAACUGGGACUAAUACCGGAUAGAUCAAAGAAACUGGAAUGUUCUCUGAUCGAAAGCUCCGGCGCCCAAGGAUGGGUCUGCGGCCUAUCAGGUAGUAGUGGGUGUAACGUACCUACUAGCCUACGACGGGUAAGGGUUGUGAGAGCAAGAGCCCUGAGAUGGAUUCUGAGACAUGAAUCCAGGCCCUACGGGGUGCAGCAGGCGCGAAAACUUUACACUGCGGGAAACCGCGAUAAGGGGACCCCGAGUGCCAGCACCUAGUGCUGGCUGUCCAGCUGUUCAAAUAACAGUUGUUAGCAAGGGCCGGGCAAGACCGGUGCCAGCCGCCGCGGUAACACCGGCGGCCCGAGUGGUAGCCGUUAUUAUUGGGUUUAAAGGGUCCGUAGCCGGCCUAUUAAGUCUCUUGGGAAAUCUGGCGACUCAAUCGUCAGGCGUUCAAGAGAUACUGGUAGGCUUGGGACCGGGAGAGGUGGGAGGUACUCCAGGGGUAGGGGUGAAAUCUCGUAAUCCUUGGGGGACCACCGAUGGCGAAGGCAUCCCACCAGAACGGGUCCGACGGUGAGGGACGAAAGCUGGGGGCACGAACCGGAUUAGAUACCCGGGUAGUCCCAGCCGUAAACGAUGCUCGCUAGGUGUCAGGUGCGGUGCGACCGCAUCUGGUGCCGCAGUGAAAACUUGAAGCGAGUCACCUGGGAAGUACGGUCGCAAGGCUGAAACUUAAAGGAAUUGGCGGGGGAGCACUACAACGGGUGGAGCCUGCGGUUCAAUUGGAUUCAACGCCGG
Molecule: ribosomal RNA, 904 nt
Filed under: uncultured archaeon
Lineage: Archaea
Description: bacterial SSU rRNA
Rfam family: Archaeal small subunit ribosomal RNA
Source: RNAcentral